ACCCUUGUGGAGGAGGACGCCGAAGGUGGGGCUAAUGACUGGGGUGAAGUCGUAACAAGGUAGCCGUACCGGAAGGUGCGGCUGGAUCACCUCCUAACAGGGAGACAACAAAAUGUUAAAUAUUAAUUUUGUCACCUUAGGUCGAUCGGUAUCUCACAUCCUUAAUUAUUUAAGGAUUUUAUUUCCUAAGUUUUUUCUAGGUCACACCCAUUACUUUUCCUGGGCCAUUAGCUCAGGUGGUUAGAGCGCACCCCUGAUAAGGGUGAGGUCCCUGGUUCAAGUCCAGGAUGGCCCAUAUCUCUAUGUUGGGGGUAUAGCUCAGUUGGUAGAGCGCCUGCUUUGCAAGCAGGAUGUCAGCGGUUCGAGUCCGCUUACCUCCACUGAUCACCACCUCUUCAUAAUUUAUAGAAGGGAAUUGUUUUGAGUUAUGAUCAAAUUCUGAACGAAUCUAGCUUCCUAAUGGAUUAUUAAGAUGCUGGACUCAUUGAAUUAAUUUCAUUGUUUUCAGAGAACCUUGACAACUGCAUAGAUUAUUUUAAAGACAAUAAGCAUCUUUAAUGAUGCAGAUUUAUUAUUUGUGCGAAUGCAUUAAAUAACAAUUCUAUUAAGCUGAUGCUUCAAUUUUUGAAGUUAUUGGUCAAGCUACAAAGGGCUCACGGAGGAUACCUAGGCACACAGAGGCG
RNAcentral lists this unclassified non-coding RNA (683 nucleotides) under uncultured Prochlorococcus sp. RNAcentral's name for it is "partial may contain 16S ribosomal RNA, 16S-23S ribosomal RNA intergenic spacer, and 23S ribosomal RNA". The stretch from base 1 to 97 matches the Rfam family "Bacterial small subunit ribosomal RNA", at positions 1437 to 1533 of the family's 1533-position model. The record is from RNAcentral. Lineage: Bacteria; Bacillati; Cyanobacteriota; Cyanophyceae; Synechococcales; Prochlorococcaceae.